GGGGAUGCAGGGAAUCGAUGAUGAUUUAAUCUAUAAACACUCAAAGCGUGCAAUCUAAAUCGCCACGCAAAUCCGUUUUAGAAAACAUAAGUGCAAACAAAAUUGCCAGCAAAGUGAAGACUGCUUUCAGCAUGCCUAUCUUUGCUCCUGUUGCCGCUUAAUUGCCGCAACCAUCCGUAUCAGCGAUGGUCUGAUAGCUGAACCACGGGUGUCAUAUUAUUAGACUAGAUUUAUAUGUUGCGUUUACUUAUAAAUUGAAGUUUAAAACGCUAGUUAUUGCUGAUUUUGUUUAGUCUUUACAGCAAUAAUAAAACAACAGAUUAAACUAACUUUGUACAAGUGUUUAAAAGAUAAUUGUCAGACGCGAGUUCAACUCUCGCCAUCUCCACAA
Molecule: transfer-messenger RNA, 391 nt
Filed under: Patescibacteria group
Lineage: Bacteria
Also listed under: 5 other names
Description: XYC2-34-220 sp001780285 Standard tmRNA
Rfam family: transfer-messenger RNA
About the family: Bacterial tmRNA, also known as 10Sa RNA or SsrA, is named for its dual tRNA and mRNA-like properties. Its role is to liberate the mRNA from a stalled ribosome. To accomplish this part of the tmRNA is used as a reading frame that ends in a translation stop signal.
Source: RNAcentral